GACGAACGCUGGCGGCGUGCCUAAUACAUGCAAGUUGAGCGCUGAAGGUUGGUACUUGUACCAACUGGAUGAGCAGCGAACGGGUGAGUAACGCGUGGGGAAUCUGCCUUUGAGCGGGGGACAACAUUUGGAAACGAAUGCUAAUACCGCAUAAAAACUUUAAACACAAGUUUUAAGUUUGAAAGAUGCAAUUGCAUCACUCAUAGAUGAUCCCGCGUUGUAUUAGCUAGUGGGUGAGGUAAAGGCUCACCAAGGCGAUGAUACAUAGCCGACCUGAGAGGGUGAUCGGCCACAUUGGGACGGAGACACGGCCCAAACUCCUACGGGAGGCAGCAGUAGGGAAUCUUCGGCAAUGGACGAAAGUCUGACCGAGCAACGCCGCGUGAGUGAAGAAGGUUGUCGGAUCGUAAAACUCUGUUGGUAGAGAAGAACGUUGGUGAGAGUGGAAAGCUCAUCAAGUGACGGUAACUACCCAGAAAGGGACGGCUAACUACGUG
RNAcentral lists this ribosomal RNA (497 nucleotides) under uncultured bacterium. Its description in RNAcentral is "partial 16S ribosomal RNA". It matches the Rfam family "Bacterial small subunit ribosomal RNA", at positions 28 to 507 of the family's 1533-position model. The record is from RNAcentral.